This 253-nucleotide ribosomal RNA is filed under the name uncultured bacterium. Its description in RNAcentral is "partial 16S ribosomal RNA". It matches the Rfam family "Bacterial small subunit ribosomal RNA", at positions 524 to 776 of the family's 1533-position model. The record is from RNAcentral.
UACAGGGGGCGCGAGCGUUGCUCGGAAUCACUGGGCGUAAAGCGUACGCAGGCGGACCGUUAAGUCGGAUGUGAAAUCCCAGGGCUCAACCCUGGAAGUGCAUUCGAUACUGGCGGUCUCGAGUACGGGAGAGGAGAGCGGAAUUCCUGGUGUAGCGGUGAAAUGCGCAGAUAUCGGGAGGAACACCUAUGGCGAAGGCAGCUCGCUGGGACGUUACUGACGCUGAGACGCGAAAGCGUGGGGAGCAAACAGG